AGAGUUUGAUCCUGGCUCAGGAUGAACGCUGGCGGCGUGCUUAACACAUGCAAGUCGAACGAUGAUCCCAGCUUGCUGGGGGAUUAGUGGCGAACGGGUGAGUAACACGUGAGUAACCUGCCCUUAACUCUGGGAUAAGCCUGGGAAACUGGGUCUAAUACCGGAUAUGACUCCUCAUCGCAUGGUGGGGGGUGGAAAGCUUUAUUGUGGUUUUGGAUGGACUCGCGGCCUAUCAGCUUGUUGGUGAGGUAAUGGCUCACCAAGGCGACGACGGGUAGCCGGCCUGAGAGGGUGACCGGCCACACUGGGACUGAGACACGGCCCAGACUCCUACGGGAGGCAGCAGUGGGGAAUAUUGCACAAUGGGCGAAAGCCUGAUGCAGCGACGCCGCGUGAGGGAUGACGGCCUUCGGGUUGUAAACCUCUUUCAGUAGGGAAGAAGCGAAAGUGACGGUACCUGCAGAAGAAGCGCCGGCUAACUACGUGCCAGCAGCCGCGGUAAUACGUAGGGCGCAAGCGUUAUCCGGAAUUAUUGGGCGUAAAGAGCUCGUAGGCGGUUUGUCGCGUCUGCCGUGAAAGCCCGGGGCUCAACUCCGGAUCUGCGGUGGGUACGGGCAGACUAGAGUGAUGUAGGGGAGACUGGAAUUCCUGGUGUAGCGGUGAAAUGCGCAGAUAUCAGGAGGAACACCGAUGGCGAAGGCAGGUCUCUGGGCAUUAACUGACGCUGAGGAGCGAAAGCAUGGGGAGCGAACAGGAUUAGAUACCCUGGUAGUCCAUGCCGUAAACGUUGGGCACUAGGUGUGGGGGACAUUCCACGUUUUCCGUACCGUAGCUAACGCAUUAAGUGCCCCGGCCUGGGGAGUACGGCCGCAAGGCUAAAACUCAAAGGAAUUGACG
Molecule: ribosomal RNA, 897 nt
Filed under: uncultured bacterium
Lineage: Bacteria
Description: bacterial SSU rRNA
Rfam family: Bacterial small subunit ribosomal RNA
Source: RNAcentral